UAUAAGCACCUCCAAUCUCCUAUCACAGGCGGCUCCAGUCAAACCCUAGUUCGUUUGCUUCCUCGCCCCUCCGAGCGCUGUUCGCGUGGAUUCGUGCAGUAAGUUCUCAUCUCCGGCAAUGGACUGGUUCAUCAGUCGCGAUGAAUCUCACCCACCCGAGAGAGUCUUUGAUUUGGGGAUGGCCUGUGAUGCGAGAAAUUGUCCGUACCAUCUGAGAGUAUUCUCUGAUCGAUACAAAAUUAUCAUCUCUAGCUUUCUGAGGCCUUUCUCCAUGCUGAUUUCUCCAUUUGCGCAUGAUUUUCCUUUUCAAGUUCAAGACUUUUCAUUCAUGUCUUUCUGCAAAUGAUUUGAAUUUUAUUUUUAUUUUUUAACGCGAUUCGGAGGCAGUGAUGACCGAUUAACAAAUACCAUCAAACUCUGAAACCCUUUGAUGAUACUGAUAAUCAACUGUCUCUGAGCCUUCUUCAAAUGCUGAUUGCUAUUUCAAAAAAAUCUUCAAUUUUUCCGGGUUUUUACGAUCGGAAUUUGGGAAUGGGGACAUUAUCUGAACGGAAAAGGCAACAAAUUAGAGUCACUGGUGCGCUCGAAUCGAUAGCGCAUUCAGCGCUGUACGUUGCCGAUAAAGACGGUAGCUGAGAUUCUGGCGUUUGCCUCUUCUUCACCGGAGGCUUACGCAUUCAGAUGCUUCCACAUCUUAAAUCAACGAUAAUGUCUCAUUCUUUUUGCAACCGUUUGAAUGAAUGAUAAAAAUUUGAAACUUUUUCAUUUUUUAACGUGAGUAAAAAUGUCGAUUGAACUAGUAAAUACGCAGACGGCCACAGCCUCGAUCUUGGUAGAAAUAGACUCUUGUCAUACCGAAAGGCGGUAUGGAUAAGUAUGGAAAAUUUUGGGAUUGCUGCGGACAAUUUCAAAAAAUAGAGAUGAUAAGGUGCUUCGGGUCAUGAAUGCAAGCUGAAGAUGUUGGUAUUUGACAAAAUGGGGGUGUGUGUGUGAUGUGGAGGGAGGGAUUGGACUCUAUUUGAUAAGAAUAUGCUACUUUUGGAUGCUCAUAAUGUUCUCAUUUUUCCCAAUUGGUAGGUCGCGGUCUCCGUUGGCCAUUGAUCUAUGCACAUGGGUUUUGAAUAGUAAGGGGGCGAUUGCCUUAUCCCUUGUUUUUCCCCAUCCAAUUAGACUUUUUAUUAGAACUUAUUCUCAAAUUAGACUUAGUUUGGAAGUAAUUCUCAAUUUAGA
Molecule: non-coding RNA, 1230 nt
Organism: Punica granatum (pomegranate)
Lineage: Eukaryota; Viridiplantae; Streptophyta; Magnoliopsida; Myrtales; Lythraceae
Source: RefSeq, a predicted model, not a curated record